Non-coding RNA from Paramuricea clavata, 3584 nucleotides. The record is from the annotation of a GenBank genome assembly. NCBI's taxonomy places the organism in Eukaryota, Metazoa, Cnidaria, Anthozoa, Malacalcyonacea, Plexauridae.
GGUUCUGUGAUAAUAUCGGGAUUGUCAUGUAAAGAAAUUCUCUAUGCCACUGUGAUGCAGAGUAUUCUUGUUGGUUGUUCAAUCCUGUCCAUUGUAGUCAGUCAAUUUGUGGCAUUUAUAUCGAUACGUGCUCUGAGUGGGACGGGACAGGUAACACAAUUAUUCAUUAUUCUUUCAAUAAUUUUUAUUAUCGUUGUAAUGGUAAUGGAGAGUACAGAUCAUUUUUAAAAGUCAGUGUUUUGACUGAAGCAAAAGGUCUUGACAUUCCCCAAAACGAUUGGAGUAGUUUGACGAUUUGAAAGAAUAAGUCUGUAUUCUCUAGUCCCCCUUUGAAUUUGGGAAAAAUUUUCAGAUUUCUUAAAACAGUUAAGCCUGUAUGGUUUGCACUAUCAACGUUUCUGUGAUCACAGUAUAGAAAUUUUGCAUCGAUAAAUUCUGAAGGAUUUGUAAGAAAUGGUUGAAGGAACUGACUUAAUGUUAACUGAGUUAGUUCCCUCAAACAUUUCUUACAAAUCCUUCAAAACUUAGAAUUUAUCUGCUCUGAUAGCGUAUACCAUAUAUGAAGUAUUUGAAGAUAGAGCUCGACAACUGGCCUCUGUAGCUCAGUUGGUUAGAGCUCGACAACUGUCUCUCUGUAGCUCAGUUGGUUAGAGCUCGACAACUGUCUCUCUGUAGCUCAGUUGGUUAGAGCUCGACAACUAUAUCUCUGUAGCUCAGUUGGUUAGAGCUUGACAACUGUCUCUCUGUAGCUCAGUUGGUUAGAGCUUGACAACUGUCUCUCUGUAGCUCAGUUGGUUAGAGCUUGACAAUUGUCUCUUUGUAGCUCAGUUGGUUAGAACUUGACAACUGUCUCUUUGUAGCUCAGUUGGUUAGAACUUGACAACUGUCUCUCUGUAGCUCAGUUGGUUAGAGCUCGACAACUGUCUCUCUGUAGCUCAGUUGGUUAGAGCUCGACAACUGUCUCUCUGUAGUUCAGUUGGUUAGAGCUCGACAACUGUCUCUUUGUAGCUCAGUUGGUUAGAGCUCGACAACUGUCUCUCUGUAGCUCAGUUGGUUAGAGCUCGACAACUGUCUCUGUAGCUCAGUUGGUUAGAGCUCGACAACUGUCUCUCUGUAGCUCAGUUGGUUAGAGCUUGACAACUGUCUCUUUGUAGCUCAGUUGGUUAGAACUUGACAACUGUCUCUCUGUAGCUCAGUUGGUUAGAGCUCGACAACUGUCUCUCUGUAGCUCAGUUGGUUAGAGCUCGACAACUGUCUCUCUGUAGCUCAGUUGGUUAGAGCUCGACAACUGUCUCUCUGUAGCUCAGUUGGUUAGGGCGCUACACCGGAAUUACAGGUUCGAUUCCUGCGAGGGACCUAAAGUUGCAUUUUUCGCUUGUCUUCCUGGUUUAUAGGUCCUAUAAAUGUAUAUAAAUUUCCACUUGAAAAUUUCCGUCUACAAUACCUCUCAACUACACCAAACUUUACUGUGUAGGUUUCUUGAUAAUUUUGAAUAUUUCCCGAAACAUUUUUUUUUGGAAAACAGUCGGUAGUUUGAAGCAAAAAUUGAAUUUUUAUCAAAAGGGCAGCCAUUCACCUAUGCAUGCUAUUUUUAAUUAAACAAGUUUUUCAAAGUUUUUAAAACGUGUUUAUGAAUUGAAGGUCAUUCGGUUUAAUGAAAGAAAAGGUUUUUAACCCAAAAGAAAAUGAAAAAUAUAAUGUCCGGGAAACAUUUUUAUGUUCAGGCGCCUACCCACCCCCACCCCCGCUCGCCAACAAUUUUGGGAAAAGAAAUAUUAAUUAGUGGUUGAGAUGACUCGGCAAAAUUUUACUUACACCCCCCAUUAAAGUAGGGCUAGCGACGCCCUUGUUUUGACAAUCCUCAGAACGUUUUGGAAUAGUUUGAGUGGAAUUUAAUUUUUUGAAAAAAACUCCAAAGCCAAUAGACCGUAUAUACUGUGCGCAAAAUUUCAAAUUACAGACUUACUUUUCAGCUGCAAAAAGAGGGUGUUGAUGGGGUAUAUCGUGAGUCGUGAUUCUUCUCAAUUUCGGUUACUGUCAGUCGUGAAAACACUAAAAAUUUAGCGUGAAUCGUGACGAAAAAAACACUGUUUAUCGUUUCAGAACACUUUUCAAAGAUUUACCGUUAAAAUACCAAAAUGUUACUUAUUGUUACCGUUAAAAAACCAAAAUUGUUACUGUUUACUGAUUUUCAGAACCCCCCCCCCACCUAGACACUCCAAAAAGAAUCCUUAUUUAUUUUUCUUAUUUUUACAGUCAUCCUACGAUAUUUCCAAAAAUCGACACGAUAAUACGCAGUACAAUGGCCAUUCUUCAAAUAUUAAUAUCAUGUCAGAAAUGUGAAUAACUUCUGUCCAAUAUGAUCUGGUAUCAAAGGCAAAUCAGGAAUCACUUGCAACAUUUCAAUAUAGUUAGUUUUGUUAGACCUUUUGUAUGUGCACGUAUAAGCAUGUCAACAAGAUGUGUUCGCACUGCUUGUUUGCAGUUGUAGUAACAUAAUAGCUUGAUGGAAUUAUCAGACUUGUUACAAGGUUGUUCAAACAAGUCUGAUACAGUCGUGAUAUAACAAGAAUGUUACAAGGUUGACGACACAAGGUUGUAACAAUAUAGUUGUUACAUCGCACUGCUUGCCCCAAGUUGGCAACAACCUUUUGGAUAUUAUCAGAUUUGUUGCAAGGUUGUUCCAACAAGUCCGAUACAGUCAUGGACUGUAUCGGACUUGUUGGAACAACCUUGCAACAAGUCUGAUAAUAUCCAAAAGGUUGUUGCCAACUUGGGGCAAGCAGUGCGAACACAACUUGUUGACGACUUGUUGGCAGACUUGCUGCAAGAUGUGAGGAUUUUUGGCCGUGUCAUCAAGAUGUGUUCGUACUGCUUGUUUCCAGUUGUUGACAAAUCUUGAACAAGUUGUUAUUAUCUUGUAACAAGGUUGAUGAGGCCAACAGACUCGCAACAAGUUGUUCCAACAAGUCUGAUAUCGUCUGCACGUAACAAGUUGUUAACAAGUUGAUGACAACAAGCUCGUAGCAACUUGUUGCGAACAGCCUGUAUUAGUCUUCUUGGAACAACUUGUGGCAAGUCUGUUACCGUCAUCAACCUUGUAACAAGGUGAUAACAAGUUGUUCCAGACUUAUCACAACAACUGGGAACAAGCAGUGCGAACACAUCCUGAUAUCGGCUUGACAACACUGUUUACAGACGAAUAUUUAUAUGUCACAGUGGCAGAACUACAUCUAUUUCAAAACAAUAUAUCGAUUAAUGACGGGAAAACUAAUCGAACGGGAAAAGUUGACCAUAUAGUGAAAAUAGAAUUUUGAGGUUUGGUAGUUUUUUUUUCUGAAGUAAAUUCAGUUUGUGACUACUUCAAAACAAUUCGUGGUAUAUUGGGAAGGUAUAAUAUUACUAGAAUUGUUUCAUACAUUAUUAGAAACAAAAGGUAUACGGAAUUAUAUACUUUCAGUGUACUGUAAGAAAAUAUUGUUGAACUGACAAGUUUGUAGUUCAAAAUGCUGUAUUUACAGCAAUCAAAGUAUCUAUUAAAUAUAUGUGGUGUUUUUUAAUGUAUUUUGAUAGUUGUCUGAUAU